This 335-nucleotide unclassified non-coding RNA is filed under the name soil metagenome. RNAcentral's name for it is "partial contains 5.8S ribosomal RNA, internal transcribed spacer 2, and large subunit ribosomal RNA". The stretch from base 1 to 120 matches the Rfam family "5.8S ribosomal RNA", at positions 35 to 154 of the family's 154-position model. The record is from RNAcentral.
GAUGAAGAACGUAGUGAAAUGCGAUAAGUAAUGUGAAUUGCAGAAUUCAGUGAAUCAUCGAAUCUUUGAACGCACAUUGCGCCCGCCAGUAUUCUGGCGGGCAUGCCUGUUCGAGCGUCAUUUCAACCAUCAAGCCCCAGGCUUGUGUUGGGGACCUGCGGCUGCCGCAGGCCCUGAAAACCAGUGGCGGGCUCGCUGUCACACCGGGCGUAGUAGAUUUUAUCUCGCUCUGGGCGUGCUGCGGGUUCCGGCCGUUAAAAAGCCUUUUUUACCCAAGGUUGACCUCGGAUCAGGUAGGAAGACCCGCUGAACUUAAGCAUAUCAAUAAGCGGAGG